CAGCAGUGGGGAAUAUUGGACAAUGGGGGCAACCCUGAUCCAGCAAUGCCGCGUGUGUGAAGAAGGCUUUGGGGUUGUAAAGCACUUUCGGUGGGGACAAACAAGGCGGAGCUAACAUCUCCGCCUUUGAUGGUACCCAAAGAAGAAGCACCGGCUAAUUCUGUGCCAGCAGCCGCGGUAAUACAGAGGGUGCAAGCGUUAUUGGGAAUUAUUGGGGGUAAAGCGUGGGUAGGUGGUUUGUUAAGUCAGGGGUGAAAUCCUCGGGCUCAACCUGGGAAUUGCGUUUGAUACUGACUGACUGGAGUGUGGUAGAGGAUAGUGGAAUUCCCGGGGUAGCGGUGAAAUGGGUAGAUAUCGGGAGGAACAUCAGUGGGGAAGGCGGCUAUCUGGACUAACACUGACAUUGAGGUAGGAAAGCGUGGGUAGCAAACAGGAUUAGAUACCCUGGUAGUCCACCCCCUAAACGAUGGGUACUAGACGUCGGGAAGCUUGUCUUCUUGGUGUCGCAGC
Molecule: ribosomal RNA, 510 nt
Filed under: uncultured Gammaproteobacteria bacterium
Lineage: Bacteria; Pseudomonadati; Pseudomonadota; Gammaproteobacteria
Description: bacterial SSU rRNA
Rfam family: Bacterial small subunit ribosomal RNA
Source: RNAcentral